This is a non-coding RNA of Schistosoma rodhaini, 45 nucleotides long. The record is from Rfam. NCBI's taxonomy places the organism in Eukaryota, Metazoa, Platyhelminthes, Trematoda, Strigeidida, Schistosomatidae.
AUCCAUCUUACAAAUCCCAAAUAGGACGAAACGCGCUUCCUGGAU